Molecule: long non-coding RNA, 1104 nt
Filed under: Calidris pugnax (ruff)
Lineage: Eukaryota; Metazoa; Chordata; Aves; Charadriiformes; Scolopacidae
Description: lncRNA (ENSCPUG00000005236.1)
Source: RNAcentral
AAAAUCAAGACCUAAAGGCAAAUUCCCCUAGUGACCAGAUUUUACAUUUCCUCCCCAUCCUACUGCUUUUCUCUCAUUGUGAAGUCUGACUUCCUAAGUAAAAUUUUACUGAAGAAGGAGUUUCAUUGUAGAGAAAAUGGUAUUUUUUAAAGUUUUCCUGCUUAGUAAGGGGCUUGGUUUAUAAGGAUGUUUAUUCUAAUUUGAUAUUGUCAAGCACUAAAUGGGUAACUUGGAAAUCAGAAAAAAAAAAUCAGGCAUUAGUCUGCACACAGUCACCUCAGGUUUAUUUAUCUACCCUGGUUAGUGCAGCUCAUUGCCACAGACACAGAGCAGGAGUGCUGUCCUCUGUAAGCUGAUGUAUUUAUUUUUUUCAGCUGAGAAUAUGUUUACAGCAUCCACACAGGCACUCAGAUUUGACAUUUUUCUUCCCAUAAAUCUCUGCUUACUCUCUUCAGCAACUGUGAAAGCUCUUUGCUGCUCCUUUCCAUGCACUUAAUUCGCAUUUGAAUGUCUGACUUCCAGGUGUCAUCCCUGUCCUUGUUGUUGGCAAAUACAGGCUUAAUUUUGGUGUGGCUACUUAUGAAAAUCAACAUGAAGGUUUUCAUUCCAGUUGCAUGAAAAUUCCUCCCAUCCACGCUGAAAAUCAUGUUGCUUUUUCAAGAGCUCUGCAUGUAUGCAAGUAAAAAGGUGAAGACUGCAUACAAGGUGUGCCUUUCAACAAUUGACAAAAUGGGACAUUAAAAUCAAUCCCAGCACCCUGAAUUUUAAGAAAUUAUUUCCUGAUGAACUGAUUGGGAAGCUGCGGAGAAUAACUUUGCUCAUGUGUCUCACCCAGAUUUUCAGACCGACUAAAGAAGAUUCCCUUCAUCAAUGUGCCACACUUCACAGCGAGUUCAACAGAGUGGUGGACGCCCUUGACAUCACAGACAUGGGAGAAUUCUCUGUAACGUACAUUUUCAGCAUAGGGAUUGUCAUCCACCUGCUGUCCUCCACUUGAGUUUGAAGUUCUUGAUCUGUCCCCGUUUUGCACGUAUGUAUUUCAUUCUUUGUAAACUAUUCCCAGGAUAAACUGUUCUGAUUGCUGUGAUACUUUGGGGUCUAAUA